This 497-nucleotide ribosomal RNA is filed under the name uncultured bacterium. RNAcentral describes it as "partial 16S ribosomal RNA". It matches the Rfam family "Bacterial small subunit ribosomal RNA", at positions 28 to 507 of the family's 1533-position model. The record is from RNAcentral.
GAUGAACGCUGGCGGCGUGCCUAAUACAUGCAAGUCGAGCGAACAGACUAGGAGCUUGCUCCUCUUACGUUAGCGGCGGACGGGUGAGUAACACGUGGAUAACCUACCUAUAAGACUGGGACAACUUCGGGAAACCGGAGCUAAUACCGGAUAACAUCUUUAAACGUAUGGUUUAAUAGUGAAAGACGCAUUUGCUUCCACUUAUGGUUAGAUCCGCGCGGAAUUAGCUGUUUGGUAAGGUAACGGUCUACCAAGGCAACGAUGCGUAGCCGACCUGAGGGGGUGAUCGCCCAAACGGGACCUGGGAAACGGCCCAGACUCCUACGGGAGGCAGCAGUAGGGAAUCUUCCGCAAUGGGCGAAAGCCUGACGGAGCAACGCCGCGUGAGUGAUGAAGGUCUUCGGAUCGUAAAACUUUGUUAUUAGGGAAGAACAAAUGUGUAAGUAACUAUGCACGUCUUGACGGUACCUAAUCAGAAAGCCACGGCUAACUACGUG